UAGAGUUAAUGAAAUGAAGAUCGGUAGGCGGACAAGUGGUGGCUGGUCUACAGAAGAGUUGCCGAUGAGGGUUGGUGCCGAUGGGAAAACAACCGAAUAUGACCAAGUCCAGGAGUGGUGAUACGUUCGUGCCAGUGACUAGUGCUGAUGGUUGCCGAUGGCUGUGAAAGGUGGUCUGCCGAUGCUUAUGAAGAAAAGCGCA
This 202-nucleotide long non-coding RNA is filed under the name Sorghum bicolor (sorghum). RNAcentral describes it as "long non-coding RNA (SBIC_LNC006763)". Lineage: Eukaryota; Viridiplantae; Streptophyta; Magnoliopsida; Poales; Poaceae. The record is from RNAcentral.